AUACGGAGGGUGCAAGCGUUAUCCGGAUUCAUUGGGUUUAAAGGGUCCGCAGGCGGGAAAAUAAGUCAGUGGUGAAAGCCUACAGCUCAACUGUAGAACUGCCAUUGAUACUGUUUUUCUUGAGUAUAGAUGAAGUGGGCGGAAUAUAUCAUGUAGCGGUGAAAUGCAUAGAUAUGAUAUAGAACACCGAUUGCGAAGGCAGCUCACUAAACUAUUACUGACGCUCAGGGACGAAAGCGUGGGGAGCGAACAGGAUUAGAAACCCGAGUAGUCC
RNAcentral lists this ribosomal RNA (274 nucleotides) under uncultured bacterium. Its description in RNAcentral is "partial 16S ribosomal RNA". It matches the Rfam family "Bacterial small subunit ribosomal RNA", at positions 523 to 796 of the family's 1533-position model. The record is from RNAcentral.